GAUGAAGAACGAAGCGAAAUGCGAUAAGUAAUGUGAAUUGCAGAAUUCAGUGAAUCAUCGAAUCUUUGAACGCACAUUGCGCCCGCCAGUAUUCUGGCGGGCAUGCCUGUCUGAGCGUCAUUUCAACCCUCAAGCAACUUCUGCUUGGUGUUGGGGAUCGGCCGUUAAACGCCGCCCCCGAAAUCUAUUGGCGAUCUCGCUGUAGCUUCCUAUGCGUAGUAGUAACAUCUCGCAUCUGGAGAGCGGCGCGGUCAUGCCGUAAAACACCCAACUUCUCAGGUUGACCUCAGAUCAGGCAGGAAUACCCGCUGAACUUAAGCAUAUCAAUAAGCGGAGGA
This 338-nucleotide unclassified non-coding RNA is filed under the name soil metagenome. RNAcentral's name for it is "partial contains 5.8S ribosomal RNA, internal transcribed spacer 2, and large subunit ribosomal RNA". The stretch from base 1 to 120 matches the Rfam family "5.8S ribosomal RNA", at positions 35 to 154 of the family's 154-position model. The record is from RNAcentral.